Molecule: ribosomal RNA, 444 nt
Filed under: uncultured bacterium
Lineage: Bacteria
Description: SSU rRNA
Rfam family: Bacterial small subunit ribosomal RNA
Source: RNAcentral
AGAGCGAACGCUGGCGGCAGGCCUAACACAUGCAAGUCGAGCGCCCAGCAAUGGGAGCGGCAGACGGGAUAGUAACACGUGGGAACGUACCUUUCAGUUCGGAACAACCCAGGGAAACUUGGGCUAAUACCGAAUACGUCCGUAAGGAGAAAGAUUUAUCGCUGAAAGAUCGGCCCGCGUCUGAUUAGCUAGUUGGUGAGGUAAUGGCUCACCAAGGCGACGAUCAGUAGCUGGUCUGAGAGGAUGAUCAGCAUCACUGGGACUGAGACACGGCCCAGACUCCUACGGGAGGCAGCAGUGGGGAAUAUUGGACAAUGGGCGCAAGCCUGAUCCAGCCAUGCCGCGUGGAUGAUGAAGGCCUUAGGGUUGUAAAGUCCUUUCGGCGGGGAAGAUAAUGACGGUACCCGCAGAAGAACGCCCGGCUAACUUCGCGCCAGCAGCCGC